AAGCGCCCUCUAGCUCAUCCACCCACUUGAACAACCCACUAAACUCAAAAACUAAAACAUUUUCCCUACUUAGUAUAGGCGAUAGAAAAGUUACUUGACGCAAUAGAGAUAUCCUUGUACCGCAAGGGAAAGAUGAAAUAAUAAUGAAAACCAAAGCAAAAAACAGCAAAGAUCAACCCUUGUACCUUUUGCAUCAUGAUUUAGCAAGAACAACCAAGCAAAACGAAUUUAAGCUUGCCAUCCCGAAACCCAAGCGAGCUACUUACAAGCAGCUAUUAUUGAGCAAACCCGUCUCUGUGGCAAAAGAGUGGGAAGACUUGUCAGUAGAGGUGAAAAGCCAACCGAGCUGGGUGAUAGCUGGUUGCCUGUGAAAAGAAUCUAAGUUCACUCCUAACUUACCCCUCCCGGCAUCCACUAACCUUAAUGAGGAAAGCUAGGAACUAUUUAAAGGAGGUACAGCUCCUUUAAAAAAGAACACAACCUCCAUUAGAGGGUAACCCCCCCCCCCCCUCCUCCCACGUUGGCCCUAAAGCAGCCAUCAACAAAGAGUGCGUCAAAGCUCAACCAAAUAAAAAUUCAAUAACACUAUGACCCCCUACACCACUAACAGGCCAAUCUAUGACCAUAGAAGAACUUAUGCUAAAAUGAGUAAUUAGAAAUUCUUCUCUAAAGCGCAAGCUUACAUUAUAUAUUAUUAACAGCCUAACUUAUAUUUACACCCCUACUAGAACAAAUAUAAAACCACUCUGUUAACCCGACUCAGGAGCGCCUAUUAGAAAGAUUAAAAUCUGCAAAAGGAACUAGGCAAACCCAAGGCCCGACUGUUUACCAAAAACAUAGCCUUCAGCCAAUAACAAGUAUUGAAGGUGAUGCCUGCCCA
RNAcentral lists this ribosomal RNA (880 nucleotides) under Struthio camelus (African ostrich). RNAcentral describes it as "partial 16S ribosomal RNA". The stretch from base 165 to 880 matches the Rfam family "Bacterial large subunit ribosomal RNA", at positions 569 to 1865 of the family's 2925-position model. Lineage: Eukaryota; Metazoa; Chordata; Aves; Struthioniformes; Struthionidae. The record is from RNAcentral.